UACACUCCUGCGGGAGGCAGCAGUGGGGAAUAUUGCACAAUGGGCGCAAGCCUGAUGCAGCCAUGCCGCGUGUAUGAAGAAGGCCUUCGGGUUGUAAAGUACUUUCAGCGGGGAGGAAGGCAAUACGGUUAAUAACCGUGUUGAUUGACGUUACCCGCAGAAGAAGCACCGGCUAACUCCGUGCCAGCAGCCGCGGUAAUACGGAGGGUGCAAGCGUUAAUCGGAAUUACUGGGCGUAAAGCGCACGCAGGCGGUCUGUCAAGUCGGAUGUGAAAUCCCCGGGCUCAACCUGGGAACUGCAUUCGAAACUGGCAGGCUUGAGUCUUGUAGAGGGGGGUAGAAUUCCAGGUGUAGCGGUGAAAUGCGUAGAGAUCUGGAGGAAUACCGGUGGCGAAGGCGGCCCCCUGGACAAAGACUGACGCUCAGGUGCGAAAGCGUGGGGAGCAAACAGGAUUAGAUACCCGUGUAGUCCCAUGA
Molecule: ribosomal RNA, 477 nt
Filed under: uncultured organism
Description: partial 16S ribosomal RNA
Rfam family: Bacterial small subunit ribosomal RNA
Source: RNAcentral